UACGUAGGGUGCGAGCGUUGUCCGGAAUUAUUGGGCGUAAAGGGCUCGUAGGCGGUUUGUCGCGUCGGGAGUGAAAACCCAGGGCUUAACCCCGUGCCUGCUUCCGAUACGGGCAGACUAGAGGUAUGCAGGGGAGAACGGAAUUCCUGGUGUAGCGGUGAAAUGCGCAGAUAUCAGGAGGAACACCGGUGGCGAAGGCGGUUCUCUGGGCAUUACCUGACGCUGAGGAGCGAAAGUGUGGGGAGCGAACAGG
This 253-nucleotide ribosomal RNA is filed under the name uncultured bacterium. Its description in RNAcentral is "partial 16S ribosomal RNA". It matches the Rfam family "Bacterial small subunit ribosomal RNA", at positions 524 to 776 of the family's 1533-position model. The record is from RNAcentral.